CGGUCUCCUAAGGGGCGGUUAAUCUUUGUUAACCUGAGAGGUACCCUUUGAACCUGAUCCGGAUUAUACCGGCGUAGGAAUAGGAUGCGUUUUACCG
Molecule: non-coding RNA, 97 nt
Filed under: SAR92 clade bacterium
Lineage: Bacteria; Pseudomonadati; Pseudomonadota; Gammaproteobacteria; Cellvibrionales; Porticoccaceae
Description: SAR92 bacterium TPP sequence
Rfam family: TPP riboswitch aptamer (THI element)
About the family: Vitamin B(1) in its active form thiamin pyrophosphate (TPP) is an essential coenzyme that is synthesised by coupling of pyrimidine and thiazole moieties in bacteria. The previously detected thiamin-regulatory element, thi box was extended, resulting in a new, highly conserved RNA secondary structure, the THI element, which is widely distributed in eubacteria and also occurs in some archaea. Analysis of operon structures identified a large number of new candidate thiamin-regulated genes, mostly transporters, in various prokaryotic organisms.
Source: RNAcentral